CCUACGGGAGGCUGCAGUCGAGAAUCAUUCACAAUGGGGGAAACUCUGAUGGUGCGACGCCGCGUGGGGGAAUGAAGGUCUUCGGAUUGUAAACCCCUGUUAUGCGGGAGCAAAUUAAAAAGAUAGUACCACAAGAGGAAGAGACGGCUAACUCUGUGCCAGCAGCUGCGGUAAUACAGAGGUCUCAAGAGUUGUUCGGAAUCACUGGGCGUAAAGCGUGCGUAGGCUGUUUCGUAAGUCGUGUGUGAAAGGCGCAGGCUCAACCCGCGAACGGCACAUGAUACUGCGAGGCUAGAGUAUUGGAGGGGGAGGCGGAAUGCACGGUGUAGCAGUGAAAUGCGUAGAGAUC
RNAcentral lists this ribosomal RNA (349 nucleotides) under uncultured bacterium. RNAcentral's name for it is "partial 16S ribosomal RNA". It matches the Rfam family "Bacterial small subunit ribosomal RNA", at positions 338 to 698 of the family's 1533-position model. The record is from RNAcentral.